AUUGAACGCUGGCGGCAGGCCUAACACAUGCAAGUCGAGCGGAUGAAGGGAGCUUGCUCCUGGAUUCAGCGGCGGACGGGUGAGUAAUGCCUAGGAAGCUGCCUGGUAGUGGGGGAUAACGUCCGGAAACGGGCGCUAAUACCGCAUACGUCCUGAGGGAGAAAGUGGGGGAUCUUCGGACCUCACGCUAUCAGAUGAGCCUAGGUCGGAUUAGCUAGUUGGUGGGGUAAAGGCCUACCAAGGCGACGAUCCGUAACUGGUCUGAGAGGAUGAUCAGUCACACUGGAACUGAGACACGGUCCAGACUCCUACGGGAGGCAGCAGUGGGGAAUAUUGGACAAUGGGCGAAAGCCUGAUCCAGCCAUGCCGCGUGUGUGAAGAAGGUCUUCGGAUUGUAAAGCACUUUAAGUUGGGAGGAAGGGCAGUAAGUUAAUACCUUGCUGUUUUGACGUUACCAACAGAAUAAGCACCGGCUAACUUCGUG
This 484-nucleotide ribosomal RNA is filed under the name uncultured bacterium. Its description in RNAcentral is "partial 16S ribosomal RNA". It matches the Rfam family "Bacterial small subunit ribosomal RNA", at positions 30 to 507 of the family's 1533-position model. The record is from RNAcentral.